AUGUGCCUGGCUCCCUGUAUGCCAUUCACAGAGUCUAUCGUGUAAUUGAUGGCCUCUGUGAAUGGCGUAUGAGGAGUCAAGCAUAC
This is a non-coding RNA of Beta vulgaris subsp. vulgaris (sugar beet), 86 nucleotides long. The record is from Rfam. Lineage: Eukaryota; Viridiplantae; Streptophyta; Magnoliopsida; Caryophyllales; Amaranthaceae.